CCUACGGGUGGCAGCAGUGGGGAAUAUUGGACAAUGGGCGAAAGCCUGAUCCAGCCAUGCCGCGUGUGUGAAGAAGGCCUUCGGGUUGUAAAGCACUUUCAGUGGGGAAGAAAGCCUUGGGGCUAAUACCCUCGAGGAAGGACAUCACCCACAGAAGAAGCACCGGCUAACUCCGUGCCAGCAGCCGCGGUAAUACGGAGGGUGCGAGCGUUGAAUCGGAAUUACUGGGCGUAAAGCGCGCGUAGGCGGUCUGAUAAGCCGGUUGUGAAAGCCCCGGGCUCAACCUGGGAACGGCAUCCGGAACUGUCAGGCUAGAGUGCAGGAGAGGAAGGUAGAAUUCCCGGUGUAGCGGUGAAAUGCGUAGAGAUCGGGAGGAAUACCAGUGGCGAAGGCGGCCUUCUGGACUGACACUGACGCUGAGGUGCGAAAGCGUGGGUAGCAAACAGGAUUAGAUACCCGAGUAGUC
Molecule: ribosomal RNA, 466 nt
Filed under: Vreelandella stevensii
Lineage: Bacteria; Pseudomonadati; Pseudomonadota; Gammaproteobacteria; Oceanospirillales; Halomonadaceae
Description: partial 16S ribosomal RNA
Rfam family: Bacterial small subunit ribosomal RNA
Source: RNAcentral